GAUGAACGCUGACAGAAUGCUUAACACAUGCAAGUCGACUUGAAUUUGGGUUUUUUACUUAGGUUUGGGUGGCGGACGGGUGAGUAACGCGUAAAGAACUUGCCUCACAGCUAGGGACAACAUUUGUAAACGAAUGCUAAUACAUAAUAUUAUGAUAAUAGGGCAUCCUAUAAUUAUGAAAGCUAUAAGCGCUGUGAGAGAGCUUUGCGUCCCAUUAGCUAGUUGGAGAGGUAACGGCUCACAAAGGCGAUGAUGGGUAGCCGGCCUGAGAGGGUGAUCGGCCACAAGGGGACUGAGAAACGGCCCUUACUCAUACGGGAGGCAGCAGUGGGGAAUAUUGGACAAUGGACCGAGAGUCUGAUCCAGCAAUUCUGUGUGCACGAUGAAGUUUUUAGGAAUGUAAAGUGCUUUCAGUUGGGAAGAAACAAAUGACGGUACCAACAGAAGAAGUGACGGCUAAAUACGUG
Molecule: ribosomal RNA, 467 nt
Filed under: uncultured bacterium
Lineage: Bacteria
Description: partial 16S ribosomal RNA
Rfam family: Bacterial small subunit ribosomal RNA
Source: RNAcentral